RNAcentral lists this signal recognition particle RNA (96 nucleotides) under Gemmatimonadaceae bacterium. RNAcentral describes it as "signal recognition particle sRNA small type". It matches the Rfam family "Bacterial small signal recognition particle RNA". From Rfam's summary of the family: The signal recognition particle (SRP) is a universally conserved ribonucleoprotein involved in the co-translational targeting of proteins to membranes. Archaeal SRP consists of a 7S RNA and homologues of the eukaryotic SRP19 and SRP54 proteins. The record is from RNAcentral. Lineage: Bacteria; Pseudomonadati; Gemmatimonadota; Gemmatimonadia; Gemmatimonadales; Gemmatimonadaceae.
UCCAGGUCCCGGAGGGCGUAGACCCGCUAAUCCCGUCAGGACCGAGAGGUAGCAGCGGCAUGUGGUGCUUUACGUUGCUCCGUCAGACCUGGGGUA